RNAcentral lists this ribosomal RNA (164 nucleotides) under Clonostachys rosea. Its description in RNAcentral is "partial small subunit ribosomal RNA". It matches the Rfam family "Eukaryotic small subunit ribosomal RNA", at positions 1639 to 1800 of the family's 1831-position model. Lineage: Eukaryota; Fungi; Ascomycota; Sordariomycetes; Hypocreales; Bionectriaceae. The record is from RNAcentral.
CGUUGAUUACGUCCCUGCCCUGUGUACACACCGCCCGUCGCUACUACCGAUUGAAUGGCUCAGUGAGGCGUCCGGACUGGCCCAGAGAGGAGGGAAACCACCACUCAGGGCCGGAAAGCUCUCCAAACUCGGUCAUUUAGAGGAAGUAAAAGUCGUAACAAGGU